ACCCGCUGAACUUAAGCAUAUCAAUAAGCGGAGGAAAAGAAACCAACAGGGAUUGCCCUAGUAACGGCGAGUGAAGCGGCAUCAGCUCAAAUUUGAAAUCUGGCUCUUUCAGGGUCCGAGUUGUAAUUUGCAGAGGGCGCUUUGGCGUUGGCAGCGGUCCAAGUUCCUUGGAACAGGACGUCACAGAGGGUGAGAAUCCCGUACGUGGUCGCUGGCCUUCGCCGUGUAAAGCCCCUUCGACGAGUCGAGUUGUUUGGGAAUGCAGCUCUAAAUGGGAGGUAAAUUUCUUCUAAAGCUAAAUACUGGCCAGAGACCGAUAGCGCACAAGUAGAGUGAUCGAAAGAUGAAAAGCACUUUGGAAAGAGAGUCAAAUAGCACGUGAAAUUGUUGAAAGGGAAGCGCUUGCAGCCAGACUUGCCUGUAGUUGCUCAUCCGGGCUUUUGCCCGGUGCACUCUUCUGCGGGCAGGCCAGCAUCAGUCUGGGCGGUUGGAUAAAGGCCUCUGUCAUGUACCUUCUCUCGGGAAGGCCUUAUAGGGGAGGCGUAAUGCAACCAGCCUGGACUGAGGUCCGCGCAUCUGCUAGGAUGCUGGCGUAAUGGCUGUAAGCGGCCCGUCUUGAAACACGGACCAAGGAGUCUAACAUCUAUGCGAGUGUUUGGGUGUCAAGCCCGAGCGCGUAAUGAAAGUGAACGGAGGUGGGAUCCCUUAAGGGUGCACCAUCGACCGAUCCUGAUGUCUUCGGAUGGAUUUGAGUAAGAGCAUGGCUGUUGGGACCCGAAAGAUGGUGAACUAUGCUUGAAUAGGGUGAAGCCAGAGGAAACUCUGGUGGAGGCUCGCAGCGGUUCUGACGUGCAAAUCGAUCGUCAAA
Molecule: ribosomal RNA, 868 nt
Filed under: fungal sp. mh1111.8
Lineage: Eukaryota; Fungi
Description: eukaryotic LSU rRNA
Rfam family: Eukaryotic large subunit ribosomal RNA
Source: RNAcentral